UAAGCUACAGUUGAGGGGUCACAUAGAACUAACCUCCAAAAUAGAAAGAGACUGAACAUUCUUUAUGAUUGGUACAACUAGACCAUAUGGAGUAGCCAUGGCAAUUCCGAUAUUGUGGGAACCUGUAACAAUUUCCAUUUAGUUAAAGUAAAAAACCCACUUCAAGUACGAUAAAAUUAAUACUAGCAAGUUUUCCAUCACGCGCAUAAAAGGCUAAGCUAAAGUAGAAACAUUGCUGCAGCCAACAGAUGAUAAUUGCUAUGGAUUGUACAAAGUACAAACCUUUGAGGGUGACCUCGAGUGACUCUUCAUUGAAGCUACUAUUCAUCAGGGGAUAUUUGUUCAUGGCCAUUGAGAGAGUCUUCAUCAAUAAUGGAAGGAAAGUGUGCUUGAC
RNAcentral lists this long non-coding RNA (394 nucleotides) under Malus domestica (apple). Its description in RNAcentral is "long non-coding RNA (MDOM_LNC011962)". Lineage: Eukaryota; Viridiplantae; Streptophyta; Magnoliopsida; Rosales; Rosaceae. The record is from RNAcentral.